Molecule: long non-coding RNA, 300 nt
Filed under: Ananas comosus (pineapple)
Lineage: Eukaryota; Viridiplantae; Streptophyta; Magnoliopsida; Poales; Bromeliaceae
Description: long non-coding RNA (ACOM_LNC001679)
Source: RNAcentral
UCCAUGAAGCUCAGAAUUACAGAUUUUGGUUAAGGUUAGCUUGGUCGAUUCCAUAUUUUUUUGGACUGCUGGUAACCUUGAGCUGAAAAUCUAUUUUUUUGGAUUUUCUUGAUGCUAUUCUUGGAAGGAGCUGGAUUUUGGACCUGGGAUUGAUACUCCAUCAUUACUCACUGGAUUUGAAACUUGCCUCACCUGAAUUGGAGAUUAUUAGGUGAGUUUUGACAUUGGAAUUGAGACAUUUAAGCUUAAGUGUUGAAAUUUUGGUGAAUUGAUGAAUUUUGAUGGAUUUUGGGUGUAGAU